GAUGAAGAACGUAGCGAAAUGCGAUACGUAAUGUGAAUUGCAGAAUUCAGUGAAUCAUCGAGUCUUUGAACGCACAUUGCGCCCUCUGGUAUUCCGGAGGGCAUGCCUGUCCGAGCGUCAUUGCUGCCCUCAAGCACGGCUUGUGUGUUGGGCCCCGUCCUCCUUCCGGGGGACGGGUCCGAAAGGCAGCGGCGGCACCGCGUCCGGUCCUCAAGCGUAUGGGGCUUUGUCACUCGCUUUGUAGGCCUGGCCGGCGCUUGCCGAUCAACCAAACUUUUUAUCAGGUUGACCUCGGAUCAGGUAGGGGUACCCGCUGAACUUAAGCAUAUCAAUAAGCGGAGGA
RNAcentral lists this unclassified non-coding RNA (343 nucleotides) under soil metagenome. RNAcentral's name for it is "partial contains 5.8S ribosomal RNA, internal transcribed spacer 2, and large subunit ribosomal RNA". The stretch from base 1 to 120 matches the Rfam family "5.8S ribosomal RNA", at positions 35 to 154 of the family's 154-position model. The record is from RNAcentral.